GAACUUCGGUUCACGAGUAAAGUGGCGCACGGGUGAGUAACGCGUAGGUAAUCUCCCCCUAUAUUCGGGAUAACAUCGGGAAACCGUUGCUAAUACCGGCUACGCUCUUUUUAACGCGAGUUAGAAAGAGGAAAGGUGACCUCUCAACGAAGUUGCCGUAUGGGGAUGAGCCUGCGUACCAUUAGCUAGUUGGUGGGGUAACGGCCUACCAAGGCGACGAUGGUUAGCGGGUCUGAGAGGAUGAUCCGCCACACUGGAACUGAAACACGGACCAGACUCCUACGGGAGGCAGCAGUGAGGAAUUUUGCGCAAUGGGGGCAACCCUGACGCAGCGACGCCGCGUGAGUGAUGAAGGCCUUAGGGUCGUAAAACUCUGUCAGCAGGGAAGAAAUGCCAUGUGGUUAAUACCCAUGUGGUUUGACGGUACCUGCAAAGGAAGCACCGGCUAACUCCGUGCCAGCAGCCGCGGUAAUACGGAGGGUGCGAGCGUUAAUCGGAAUUACUGGGCGUAAAGGGCGCGUAGGCGGCCUGUCAAGUCAGAUGUGAAAGCCCACGGCUUAACCGUGGAAGUGCAUUUGAAACUGCCAGGCUUGAGUAUCAGAGGGGAAAGUGGAAUUCCCGGUGUAGAGGUGAAAUUCGUAGAUAUCGGGAGGAAUACCGGUGGCGAAGGCGACUUUCUGGCUGAAUACUGACGCUGAGGCGCGAAAGCGUGGGGAGCAAACAGGAUUAGAUACCCUGGUAGUCCACAGCUGUAAACGAUGUGCACUAGGUGUAGGAGGUGUUGACCUUUCUGUGCCGCAGCUAACGCAUUAAGUGCACCGCCUGGGGAGUACGGUCGCAAGAUUAAAACUCAAAGGAAUUGACGGGGGCCCGCACAAGC
Molecule: ribosomal RNA, 880 nt
Filed under: uncultured bacterium
Lineage: Bacteria
Description: bacterial SSU rRNA
Rfam family: Bacterial small subunit ribosomal RNA
Source: RNAcentral